RNAcentral lists this ribosomal RNA (466 nucleotides) under uncultured bacterium. RNAcentral's name for it is "bacterial SSU rRNA". It matches the Rfam family "Bacterial small subunit ribosomal RNA", at positions 1006 to 1482 of the family's 1533-position model. The record is from RNAcentral.
AUACUUCUUUCCUUCGGGACUCUUUGCAAGGUGCUGCAUGGUUGUCGUCAGCUCGUGCCGUGAGGUGUCGGGUUAAGUCCCAUAACGAGCGCAACCCUUAUCGUUAGUUGCCAGCGGGUAAUGCCGGGAACUCUAGCGAAACUGCCGGUGUAAACCGAGAGGAAGGUGGGGAUGACGUCAAAUCAGCACGGCCCUUAUGUCCAGGGCUACACACGUGUUACAAUGGCCGGUACAGAGGGCAGCUACCUGGAGACAGGAUGCGAAUCUCGAAAGCCGGUCUCAGUUCGGAUCGGAGUCUGCAACUCGACUCCGUGAAGCUGGAUUCGCUAGUAAUCGCGCAUCAGCCAUGGCGCGGUGAAUACGUUCCCGGGCCUUGUACACACCGCCCGUCAAGCCAUGGAAGUUGGGGGUACCUGAAGUCCGUAACCGCAAGGAGCGGCCUAGGGUAAAACCAGUGACUGGGGCU